This 474-nucleotide ribosomal RNA is filed under the name uncultured bacterium. RNAcentral's name for it is "bacterial SSU rRNA". It matches the Rfam family "Bacterial small subunit ribosomal RNA", at positions 27 to 518 of the family's 1533-position model. The record is from RNAcentral.
GGACGAACGCUGGCGGCGUGCCUAACACAUGCAAGUCGAGCGAUGAAGCCCUUCGGGGUGAAUUAGCGGCGGACGGGUGAGUAACACGUGGGUAACCUGCCUUAUAGAGGGGGAUAGCCUUCCGAAAGGAAGAUUAAUACCGCAUAAUAUGUUUUUAUCGCAUGGUAGAAACAUCAAAGGAGCAAUCCGCUAUAAGAUGGACCCGCGGCGCAUUAGCUAGUUGGUGAGGUAACGGCCCACCAAGGCGACGAUGCGUAGCCGACCUGAGAGGGUGAUCGGCCACAUUGGAACUGAGACACGGUCCAGACUCCUACGGGAGGCAGCAGUGGGGAAUAUUGCGCAAUGGGGGAAACCCUGAACCGCAGCAACGCCGCGUGAAUGAAGAAGGCCUUAGGGUUGUAAAGUUCUGUUUUCUGGGACGAUAAUGACGGUACCAGAGGAGGAAGCCACGGCUAACUACGUGCCAGCCGCAGC